GAUGAACGCUGGCGGCGUGCCUAAUACAUGCAAGUCGAGCGAACGGACGAGAAGCUUGCUCCUCUGAUGUUAGCGGCGGACGGGUGAGUAACACGUGGAUAACCUACCUAUAAGACUGGGAUAACUUCGGGAAACCGUAGCUAAUACCGGAUAAUAUUUUGAACCGCAUGGUUCAAAAGUGAAAGACGGUCUUGCUGUCACUUAUAGAUGGAUCCGCGCCGCAUUAGCUAGUUGGUAAGGUAACGGCUUACCAAGGCAACGAUGCGUAGCCGACCUGAGAGGGUGAUCGGCCACACUGGAACUGAGACACGGUCCAGACUCCUACGGGAGGCAGCAGUAGGGAAUCUUCCGCAAUGGGCGAAAGCCUGACGGAGCAACGCCGCGUGAGUGAUGAAGGUCUUCGGAUCGUAAAACUCUGUUAUUAGGGAAGAACAAAUGUGUAAGUAACUGUGCACGUCUUGACGGUACCUAAUCAGAAAGCCACGGCUAACUACGUG
RNAcentral lists this ribosomal RNA (497 nucleotides) under uncultured bacterium. RNAcentral's name for it is "partial 16S ribosomal RNA". It matches the Rfam family "Bacterial small subunit ribosomal RNA", at positions 28 to 507 of the family's 1533-position model. The record is from RNAcentral.